CCUACGGGGGGCUGCAGUAGGGAAUCUUCCGCAAUGGACGAAAGUCUGACGGAGCAACGCCGCGUGAGCGAAGAAGGUCUUCGGAUCGUAAAGCUCUGUUGUUAGGGAAGAACAAGUACGGGAGGAAAUGACCGUACCUUGACGGUACCUAACGAGGAAGCCACGGCUAACUACGUGCCAGCAGCCGCGGUAAUACGUAGGUGGCAAGCGUUGUCCGGAAUUAUUGGGCGUAAAGCGCGCGCAGGCGGUCUUUUAAGUCUGAUGUGAAAUCUUGCGGCUCACCCGAAAGCGGUCAUUGGAAAUGGGGGGACUGGGGUGAAGAGGGGGAAAGCGGAAUUCAAGGUGUAGGGGUGAAAGGCGUAGAGAGGUGGAGGAACACAAGUGGCGAGGGCGGCUUUUGGGUCUGAACCUGACGCUGAGGGGCGAAAGGGUGGGGGCAAACAGGAUUAGAUACCCCUGUAGUC
RNAcentral lists this ribosomal RNA (464 nucleotides) under uncultured bacterium. RNAcentral's name for it is "bacterial SSU rRNA". It matches the Rfam family "Bacterial small subunit ribosomal RNA", at positions 338 to 795 of the family's 1533-position model. The record is from RNAcentral.